Long non-coding RNA from Ipomoea triloba (trilobed morning glory), 929 nucleotides. RefSeq lists it as uncharacterized. The record is from RefSeq and is a predicted model, not a curated record. NCBI's taxonomy places the organism in Eukaryota, Viridiplantae, Streptophyta, Magnoliopsida, Solanales, Convolvulaceae. The transcript has 2 exons.
UACCCCUCCUCCUCCUCAUACAUCCAUUUCCAUUCAUCUCUCUCUGCUUGCACUUCUCUCUCUAAAUUUCUCCUUUUUUAUUUUUAUGGGGGUGAGAGAAAAGAUUGCAGAUCAAAAAGCAAGACUGAAAUCUCCACAGCAAGGCAAUCUUAAAGAUGAGUUCAAGACUUGCCAUCCGCCCGCAAAACUGGAAAGCUGAUGAAAUCUGGGGCGUUGAAAGUUUGGGCCGCCAGAGAUUUGAAUUGGGUGCCGGCGCCGGCGCCGGGAGCUCCACCUUGACGGCGGUUCAUUUGUAUUAAUUGGGUGCUAUCCUACCUGAGCUUUUUCCUCAUCACCUUUUCUUAUUUGUUUUUUUUUUUGACUUGUUGCCUUUUAUUUUUUAUUCUCACCCAAUUUUCUUGACCUUGUAAGACCUUUUCUUGACCUUGUAAGACCCAUUGUUGUGUGUUUUCUUCUUGUAUUUUGUGGUCUGAAUAACGUUGUGUCCGAAAUUUUUUGGCACAAGGUUUUCUCAGCAUCUUCGUCCUCCCUCCCCAACUCGUCUUCUCCUUCCUUGUCUAUCCCUCCUGAGCUAUUAAACUAAUUAGAUUUGCACAUUUCACCGGCCUCCUCAAAAACAUAUAUCAUUAUAUUAUAUUGUGUUUCAAAUCCAUGCAUAAACACCGCUGAAUUGAAGAUCAGAUCAAUCUGGAGUAACUUCAAGAUCAUUGAAUGAAGAAGAAGAAGAAGAAUGAGCUGAUUAUUUGUAAUUCAUUAUAAAAUUUAGUAGAAGCUAAUUAAGCUAGAGUACAUACAUGUAUACAUACACGUACACAAGUACACUUUAUAAUGAUAUAUUGAUUGUGUAUGUUUAUGGAUGAUGGAUCGGAGUUGAAUUGAAGUUAGUUAUAUAUGGAUGACUGGAUGCAAUGCAAUUAUUUACAAAGCUU